RNAcentral lists this ribosomal RNA (506 nucleotides) under Pseudeustetha hirsuta. Its description in RNAcentral is "partial 12S ribosomal RNA". Lineage: Eukaryota; Metazoa; Arthropoda; Insecta; Coleoptera; Chrysomelidae. The record is from RNAcentral.
CGCGGUUAUACAGAWAAUAWAAGUUAAUAUUUUUAACAAUAAUUUAUUAUGUAUUAUUUUUAUUUUAGAAUUUAUUAAGUGAAAUUUUAAAUUUUAGUUAAAAGUAAUUAAUUUAAAUGAAGUUAAGAAAUUUUUAAUUAAACUAGGAUUAGAUACCCUAUUAUUUAAAAAGUAAUGAUAAAUGUUAAAUUAUUAAUAGUUAAAUUCUUUAAAAUUAAAGAUUUUGGCGGUAUUUUAGUCUUUUCAGAGGAACCUGUUUUAUAAAUGAUAAUCCACGAUUAAAUAUACUUUAUUUUUUAGUUUGUAUAUCGUCGUGAUUAAGUAUUUUUUUAGAAUUAUUAAUAUUUAAGAUUUUUAAUUAAAAAUUAAUCAGAUCAAGGUGCAGUUUAUAGUAAAGAUUAAAUGGGUUACAAUAAAUAUAUUUAAGGAUAAAAAUUUUAUAAGUUUUUUGAAUGUGGAUUUGGUAGUAAUUUUUUUUAAUUUAAUUAUAUGAUUUAGCUCUAAAA